UUUCAAAAGCUGUAUUUUACAGAUUGGACCAAGAGACGUUUCUUUUAUGACUUAUUAUAUAAUCUAUAGCUAGGGUAAAUGAAGUCUAUUUAAAGUA
RNAcentral lists this unclassified non-coding RNA (97 nucleotides) under Schizosaccharomyces pombe (fission yeast). RNAcentral describes it as "non-coding RNA (predicted)". Lineage: Eukaryota; Fungi; Ascomycota; Schizosaccharomycetes; Schizosaccharomycetales; Schizosaccharomycetaceae. The record is from RNAcentral.